Molecule: transfer RNA, 72 nt
Filed under: archaeon
Lineage: Archaea
Description: tRNA-Thr
Rfam family: tRNA
About the family: Transfer RNA (tRNA) molecules are approximately 80 nucleotides in length.
Source: RNAcentral
GCCUGUGUAGCUCAGUGGUAGAGCACUUGAUUCGUAAUCAAUAGGUCGCCAGUUCAAUCCUGGUCACAGGCU